GGGGGCGUAGCUCAGUUUGGGAGAGCGCAGGAUUUGCAUUCCUGAGGUCAGGGGUUCGAUCCCCCUCGCCUCCACCA
Molecule: transfer RNA, 77 nt
Filed under: Blastocatellia bacterium
Lineage: Bacteria; Pseudomonadati; Acidobacteriota; Blastocatellia
Description: tRNA-Ala
Rfam family: tRNA
About the family: Transfer RNA (tRNA) molecules are approximately 80 nucleotides in length. Their secondary structure includes four short double-helical elements and three loops (D, anti-codon, and T loops).
Source: RNAcentral